CCUAUUCUCCUACUUCUAGUUCCUUAGAAUCUUUCGAAGUUCCUUCCCCUGCUCAGAGCGUAGGUUCGCCAAAGGAACCUGGAUCACCUCACAACUCACCUCAAGACAUGGCCAAUGUCCAUUCUCCUACUUCUACAUCCUUGGAAUCUGUCGAAGUUUCUUCCCCUGCUCACAGCGAAGAUGCGCCAAAGGGACCUGGAUCACCUCACUACCCACCUCAAGACAUGGCUAAUGUCUAUUCUCCCCAAUCUGCUACCCCCCCUGGCACAUCUCCUUCGAGUUCCAUCAUUGCCGUGGAAGAGUGCGAGUCACCGUC
RNAcentral lists this long non-coding RNA (316 nucleotides) under Physcomitrium patens. RNAcentral describes it as "long non-coding RNA (PPAT_LNC011052)". The record is from RNAcentral. Lineage: Eukaryota; Viridiplantae; Streptophyta; Bryopsida; Funariales; Funariaceae.